CAUGAAGCUGGAAUCGCUAGUAAUCGCGAAUCAGAAUGUCGUGGUGAAUACGUUCCCGGGUGUUGUACACACCGCCCGUCAUGCCAUGGGAGUCUGUAAUAUUUGAAGUCGGUAGCCUAACCCAGCAAUGGGAGGGGGCCGGUGAGGGUAGGACAGGCGACUGGGGUAAAGUCGUAACAAGGUAAC
Molecule: ribosomal RNA, 186 nt
Filed under: uncultured bacterium
Lineage: Bacteria
Description: partial 16S ribosomal RNA
Rfam family: Bacterial small subunit ribosomal RNA
Source: RNAcentral